AUGAACGCUGGCGGCGUGCCUAACACAUGCAAGUCGAACGAAGCGUCCCGCCCGAAGAAGAGGAGUGCUUGCACAAAUCGGACUCAAUUGGGAUGACUUAGUGGCGGACGGGUGAGUAACGCGUGGGUAACCUGCCUCACACAGGGGGAUAACAGUUAGAAAUGACUGCUAAUACCGCAUAAGCGCACACUACCGCAUGGUAGAGUGUGAAAAAACUUUCGUGGUGUGAGAUGGACCCGCGUCUGAUUAGCCAGUUGGCAGGGUAACGGCCUACCAAAGCAACGAUCAGUAGCCGGCCUGAGAGGGUGAACGGCCACAUUGGGACUGAGACACGGCCCAAACUCCUACGGGAGGCAGCAGUGGGGGAUAUUGCACAACGGGGGAAACCCUGAUGCAGCCGACGCCGCGUGAGCGAUGAAGUAUCUCGGUAUGUAAAGCUCUAUCAGCAGGGAAGAAAAUGACGGUACCUGACUAAGAAGCUCCGGCUAAAUACGUGCCAGCCGCGGC
RNAcentral lists this ribosomal RNA (507 nucleotides) under uncultured bacterium. RNAcentral describes it as "bacterial SSU rRNA". It matches the Rfam family "Bacterial small subunit ribosomal RNA", at positions 29 to 518 of the family's 1533-position model. The record is from RNAcentral.